RNAcentral lists this ribosomal RNA (165 nucleotides) under Syncarpha dykei. RNAcentral's name for it is "5.8S ribosomal RNA". It matches the Rfam family "5.8S ribosomal RNA". From Rfam's summary of the family: 5.8S ribosomal RNA (5.8S rRNA) is a component of the large subunit of the eukaryotic ribosome. It is transcribed by RNA polymerase I as part of the 45S precursor that also contains 18S and 28S rRNA. The record is from RNAcentral. Lineage: Eukaryota; Viridiplantae; Streptophyta; Magnoliopsida; Asterales; Asteraceae. RNAcentral also lists the same sequence under 1 other name.
CAAACGACUCUCGGCAACGGAUAUCUCGGCUCACGCAUCGAUGAAGAACGUAGCAAAAUGCGAUACUUGGUGUGAAUUGCAGAAUCCCGUGAACCAUCGAGUUUUUGAACGCAAGUUGCGCCCGAAACCAUUUGGUUGAGGGCACGUCUGCCUGGGCGUCACACA